RNAcentral lists this non-coding RNA (26 nucleotides) under Homo sapiens (human). The record is from RNAcentral. Lineage: Eukaryota; Metazoa; Chordata; Mammalia; Primates; Hominidae.
UCAAUCCUUCAUCUUUCCAGAGUGUC